RNAcentral lists this long non-coding RNA (2962 nucleotides) under Cinara cedri. Lineage: Eukaryota; Metazoa; Arthropoda; Insecta; Hemiptera; Aphididae. The record is from RNAcentral.
CUAAGGAAAUCUAUAAUGUCUUCACAAUGUGAACAUUCUGCUUGAGCAAAUUCCAGAGGAGUUUUAUUUUUUUUGUUUUUAGCACUAGUGUCAGCACCUUUUCCUACAAGGUACUGCACCAUCUUUAAGUUACUGGAAGAGCGACUAGCAAGAUGCAAUAGGGUAUUCCCAAAAUAAUCCUUAGAAUCCUUAGCAUUAACAUUAGCACCUUUUUCUACAAUAUAUUUCACCACUUCAAAGUUAGAAUAGCGAACAGCAAGGCGUAAGAUGGCAUCUUUCUCAUCACCUCUAGCGUCAAUACCAGCACCUUUAUCCAUAAGAUACUUUGCUAUAUCAAAAGUACUGGAGGGAAUAACAAUAGCAAUAACGAGAGGUGUCCUAUAUUGAUUAUUUCUGGCAUUAAUAUCAGCAUCUUUUUCGACAAGAUACUUUACUAAAUCUAGAUUGCCAAUAGAACUAGCUCUGUGCAAGAUGGUAGAUCCAUAUUUAUCUUUAACAUGAAUAUCAGUACCUUUUCCUACAAGAUACUUUACCAUUUCCACAUUAGAAGAACGCACAGCAGGAUACAAUGAGGUCUGCNNNNNNNNNNNNNNNNNNNNNNNNNNNNNNNNNUUUUCUACAAGAUACUUUACCAAUUCUGCAUUAGAAGAACGGACAGCAAGAUGCAAUGGGGUCUUCCCAUCUUUACCCUUAGCAUUAACAUCAGCACCUUUUUCUAUAAGAUACUUCACUAUAUCUACAUGAUUAUUACUAACAGAUACGUGUAAGGCUGUGUUAUGAUUAUUAUUGGCAGCGUUAAUAAUAUCAGGCUUUUUAUCUAUAAGAAGUUUAACUACCUCCAAUUGAGCUUUCUCAACAGCUACAUGUAACGGUGUAUUACCAUUUUUAGCGUAGAAAUCAACACCUGGGAUAUCUAUAAACCACUUAAUCAUAUACAUGUUACCUUCUUGCACUGCUGUGUGUAAAGGUGUAUAACCUAUAUUAUUUUUAGAAUUAAUAUCAGCACCUUUUUCUAUGAGAUACCUUAAUGUAUCCACAUGAUUACUACUAACAGCUAUGUGCAAUGGAGUGUUUCCUUGAUUAUCUUGAGCAUUAAUACUUGCACCUUUUUCUACAAGACACUUCACUGUACUUAGAUUAUUAUUACUAACAGCUAUGUGCAAUGGAGUCUCUUCACCUGUAUCCUUAAUGUUAAUAUUAGCGCCUUUUUCUAUGAGAAACUUUAUCAUAUCUAAAUUGCCGGAAGAACUAGCACUGUGCAAUGGGGCGUAUCCUUCAUUAUCUUCAGCAUUAAUAUCAAAACCUUUCUCUAUAAGAUACUCUGCUAUAUCUAAGCUUCCGGAAGAAGAAUAAGCAAUAAUAUGCAAGAGUGUGUGUCCUGCAUGAUCUUUAUAUUUAACACUAAUAUCAGCGCCUUUUGAUACAAGAUACUUUACUAUAUUUAAAUGAUUAUUACUAACAGCAUCGCGCAAUGGGGUAUCUCCAUAAUCAUCUCUAGAAUUAACAUCAGCACCUUUUUCUACAAGAUACUCUACCACCGCAAAAUUGGAAAAAUGAAUGGCAAUGUGCAAUGGUGUUUGUCCAUCUUUAUUUCUGGCGUUAAUAAUAUCAGGCUUUUUAUCUAUAAGAAGUUUAACUACCUCCAAUUGAGCUUUUUUAACAGCUACAUGUAUUGGUGUAUUACCAUCUUUACCCUUAGCAUUAAUAUCAGCACCUUUUUCUACAAGAGUCUUAACUUUACCGUAGUCUUCAGCUUCUAUAGCACUAAAUAAUUCGUCAUCAGUAGUAUUCUGAACAUCACGACGUACGCGACUCGUACUCUUUUCUUUGAGGAGAUCUAUAAUGUCUUUACAAUUUGAACAUUCUGUUUUAGCAAUAUCCAAAGGUGUUCUGCCUUUAUUGUCCUUGGCACUAACAUUAGCACUUCUUUUUAUUAAACUCCUCACUAUCUCCAAAUUGGAAGAACUACCAGCAGCUAGGUGCAAUGAAGUAAGCCCAUUAUUUUCUGCAACAUUAGCAUCAGCACCUUUUUCUAGAAGAUACUGUACAAUCUCCAAGUUGGAAUUAAGAACAGCAAAAUGCAAGGGAGUAUGAUUCACAGAACCUUUAGCCAUAAUAUCAGCACCUUGCCUUAUGAGAUACUUUACUACCUCUAAUGUAGAAAAACGAGCAGCUAGGUGCAAUGGGGUGUUCCCAUUAUUAUCUCUAGCAUUAGAAUCAGCACCUUUUUUUACAAGAUACUCUAUAACUGCUAACUUGUAGUGAUCAGAGCGAAUAGCAUUGUGCAAUGGAGUAUUUCCAUCUUUAUCUUUAGCCUUAACAUCAGCACCUUUGUCUAUAAGAUACUCUAUUAUAUCUAAAUUGCCAGAAUAACUAGCAUAAUGUAAAGGGGACUGCUUAUGAUUAUCGCUAGUAUUAACAUCAGCACCUUCUUUUACAAAAUUCUGAACUUUAUUAUAAUCUCCCGCGACUGCGGCAAUCAAUAAUUCGUCAUUUAAACUCAUUUAACCCUCCUUUUUAUAAUUAGCCUCACCCCACGCAAGGCAGUCUAGCAGCAUAUUUUUAUAAAUCAACCCUUUUAUCACACAAAAUCAUCAUUUUUUUCAAGGGGAUACAAAUUCAAUUUAUGGGAAAAAGAGAAGUGCAAGCAAAGUAAUCCAAUUUUUAUAAAUCUACUAUAUAAAGUACAAAAAACAAAUUGAUAUACAAAAUAUAGAUGUUAGCUGAUGCUUGGACCCUACUUAUACUCACACUACUUGAAAUUGUACUUGGUAUAGACAACUUAAUUUUUAUUUCUCUGGCAAUUGACAAAGCACCAAAACACCUGAGAGAAAGAGCACGUUUUUUUGGCCUUGGAUUAGCAUUAUUAAUGCGUCUUGUAACACUAUUUUUUAUAUCACUGACAUUAUCUAUGCAAAAACCCAUAUUUUAUAUUGCAUCAUUAGGUAUCUCAAUAAAGGAU